AUUCCAGCUCCAAUAGCGUAUAUUAAAGUUGUUGCAGUUAAAAAGCUCGUAGUUGAAUUUCUGCUGCGGCGACCGCGUGAUGCUUUGCGUUGCGUGUGUCGCUUCAGCAUUUUCCCUUGCACUGCACUUAAUUGUGUGUGUGUUUGGGAAGCUUUACUUUGAGAAAAAUAGAGUGUUUCAAGCAGGCUGUGCCUUGAAUACUGCAGCAUGGAAUAAUGAUAUAGACCUACAUUCCUAUUUCGUUGGUUCUGAGGAAUGAGUGAUGAUUAAUAGGGAUAGUUGGGGGCAUUGUAUUCGACUGUCAGAGGUGAAAUUCUUAGAUUUGUCGAAGACAGACAACUGCGAAAGCAUUUGCCAAGGAUAUUCUCAUCA
RNAcentral lists this ribosomal RNA (372 nucleotides) under Apicomplexa sp. RNAcentral's name for it is "partial small subunit ribosomal RNA". It matches the Rfam family "Eukaryotic small subunit ribosomal RNA", at positions 582 to 975 of the family's 1831-position model. The record is from RNAcentral. Lineage: Eukaryota; Apicomplexa.